AAAAGGCAAACACAUCCAGCUGAUUGCAAGGAAGCUUGUUUCGGUGGUCUACGUUCGGUUACAUUUGGCUGUUUUUUACAUAUUGUUCAUCAAGCGCAAUGAGUCAAGAAGAGAUAAAAAAAAAAUACAUGCGACAGAAACUACAAGCGCCACAAAAAGUUGGGUAAACAACAGUUUCCUGUGGAUACCCUAUCUCCACCUCCUAAAGCCUAAAGGACCAACAUCAUGUACAACCGGUAAUGUUUUUGUUGACCUGGGAGCAGAUGCACCCAUCCACUUAGAGUGCCAAGAACAGUUGUUAAGCCAAUCACUGUGCACAUUCUGAUGAAGAGGAUUCUCCAGAGAAGGGACUUCACCCAAUAAACGCUUGGGCUUCACUGACCAAAUGGGGUCUAUCUGGCUGAACAACAGUGAGGAACACGACUAGCAAUUAGAGGACACAACAGGCUAGGAUGAAGGGAGGCAGAGGAAGAGCGAACGACAGAGACAGCAGACAGCCCACAGAGCCUUAAAAUAGUUCUGGGCCCAGCAUGGCCCAGGGAGGGCUGUCAGGCUUUCCCUGUGUGAGGUUUCAUUAUGCUGUCUCGGGGUUGCUGGCAGUGCCCAUGCUCACAGGAUUAAAUUAAGUUUCCUGCCAUAGUCAUGAAAACACUAAGAAUGUCCCCAGGCUCUUUUGUCACAUUGUUAACUUGGAGAGUGCACAGAUAGGCACACCAGUGUUGGAUGUAGGAUCUCUGGAUACAGGGCAGUAUACAGAGAGGAGAGAGGUUAUGUAGGGAGGGUAAAGGUUAAGGCACACACACAAGACAUGCACAGACACAUGCACAUAAACACACACAAACACCCACAUACCAUCCUCAAGAUUAUGUGGAAGGCAUGGAGAGAAAGUGCAUGGACAUAUAACCAAGCUGUCCUGAUAUUGAGGACGACAGAGAUAGCAAUAAGGCCUGGACUGUGUACAUCACUGUGUGUCAAUCCAUAUGGAGAUGUUUUUCCUUACAUGUUCAGAAUUAUAUCAAUCAGUGUUCUAAGGCACUGCAUCUCAGUGCUAAAGGCAUCACCACAGACCCUGGUUCGAUCCCAGGCUGUAUCACAACCGGACGUGAUUGAGAGUCCCACAGGGCGGCACACAAUUGGCCCAGCGUCGUCCGGGUUAGGAUUUGGCCGGGGUAGGCCAUCAUUGUAAAUAAGAAUUUGUUCUUAAUUAACUGACUUGCCUAGUUAAAUAAAGGUUAAAUAAAAAAUGUAUUAAAAUAAUUUACGUACAACAACAAAAAAGCAUUUAAAUGUGAUUAUCAAUUAAAUAAAUAUUUGCAUAUAGCAGUAACUAAUCUACCCCUUGACCUUUAAACAUCAGCAUUACAUUAGAUCUAGAAUGAACAUUGAAUAUUGCCAUAUAAGUAAAACCAAAGCAAUUAAGCCAACAAAUUAAACUCUCAUUAUGAUGAGAAAAACAACAACAAACAUUAAGAUCCAUUCCACGAUCGAUGAUCUAGCUAGGUAAUUUCAUUGCUAUAGACCAAAUGUCCCCACCAUAUUUGCAGUGGAGAUACAUUUCCAUGAUAAACUAAUCUAAAUGAAUGAAUUAAAGGAAGAUAACAUUUUGGUUAAUCAAAGACAAGUAUUUAUCUGUGAGAAAAGCCAAGAGCAUUCCCCUAAUGAUGUCACUGAUUGAACUAUCUUUUUUUGCCAAUAACUACAUAUGUAGGAUCUUAAUUUGAUCAUCCUGUUGCAGGAUACAUUUUCUGAAAUGCAGGAAAUCAAAAAAUGUGUGGUAUAUUUGGUUUGAAAAAGCCUUCUGAAGUUUUUAAUUUCCACAUGAAAUUUCAGACUUGAUUUUCGCAUAUGAAAAAUGUAUCAGCCCCUACAAAAAUGUCCAUUGAAUAUAAUCCAUGUAAUAAUUCACAUUUCCUGUUGCUGCAUGAUCAUUUUCCUGCUGUGGCAAACUGGCUAAAAUUCAAAUAAAAUAAAAUUGUAUUUGUCACAUGCUUAGUAAACAAUGGGUGUAGACUAACAGUGAAACGCUUAGUUGCGGGCCCUUCCCAACAAUGCAGAGAGAAAAAAAAAUAAAUACACAAUGAGUAAUGAUAACUUGGCUAUAGACACUAUAUAACUAUUUAUGGCUUGGGGGUAGAAGCUGUUCAGGGUCCUGUUGGUUCCAGACUUGGUGCAUCGGUACCGCUUGCCGUGCGGUAGCAGAGAGAACAGUCUGACUGAUUCUACUUCUGUAUGAGAUUUGAAAGACAUUCAAGUCACACUUAUAAUGACAUUUCAUGUGCCAGAAAUAGGUUCUGAAUGUCACGCCCUUAGAUUCUCUGUUUUUCUAUAUAUUUUGGUUAGGUCAGGGUGUGACUAGGGUGAGUACUCUAGUUGUUGUAUGUCUAGGGUUUUUGUCACCUAGGGGUUUUGUAUGUCUAUGUUGGCCUGAUAUGGUUCCCAAUCAGAGACAGCUGUUUAUCGUGGUCUCUGAUUGGGGAUCAUAUUUAGGUAGCCAUUUCCCCAUUGUUAGUUGUGGGAUCUUGUCUAUGUUUAGAUGCCUGUCAGCACUAGUUUGUAUAGCUUCACGUUUCGUUUGGUUGUUUGUUUUUGUUCAUUCAUUAAAAAGAGAAUGUACGCAUA
This is a long non-coding RNA of Oncorhynchus nerka (sockeye salmon), 2619 nucleotides long. RefSeq lists it as uncharacterized. NCBI's taxonomy places the organism in Eukaryota, Metazoa, Chordata, Actinopteri, Salmoniformes, Salmonidae. The record is from RefSeq and is a predicted model, not a curated record. The transcript has 2 exons.